Molecule: ribosomal RNA, 515 nt
Filed under: uncultured bacterium
Lineage: Bacteria
Description: partial 16S ribosomal RNA
Rfam family: Bacterial small subunit ribosomal RNA
Source: RNAcentral
GAUGAACGCUGGCGGCGUGCCUAAUACAUGCAAGUCGAGCGAAUGGAUUAAGAGCUUGCUCUUAUGAAGUUAGCGGCGGACGGGUGAGUAACACGUGGGUAACCUGCCCAUAAGACUGGGAUAACUCCGGGAAACCGGGGCUAAUACCGGAUAACAUUUUGAACCGCAUGGUUCGAAAUUGAAAGGCGGCUUCGGCUGUCACUUAUGGAUGGACCCGCGUCGCAUUAGCUAGUUGGGGAGGUAACGGCUCACCAAGGCAACGAUGCGUAGCCGACCUGAGAGGGUGAUCGGCCAUGCUGGGACUGAGACACGGCCCAGACUCAUACGGGAGGCAGCAGUAGGGAAUCUUCCGCAAUGGACGAAGGUCUGACGGAGCAACGCCGCGUGAGUGAUGAAGGCUUUCGGGUCGUAAAACUCUGUUGUUAGGGAAGAACAAGUGCUAGUUGAAUAAGCUGGCACCUUGACGGUACCUAACCAGAAAGCCACGGCUAACUACGUGCCAGCAGCCGCCGUAA